UACGGAGGGUGCAAGCGUUAUCCGGAUUCACUGGGUUUAAAGGGUGCGUAGGCGGGCAUUUAAGUCAGUGGUGAAAUACCUGAGCUUAACUUGGGAACUGCCAUUGAUACUAUUUGUCUUGAAUGUCGUGGAGGUUAGCGGAAUAUGUCAUGUAGCGGUGAAAUGCUUAGAUAUGACAUAGAACACCAAUUGCGAAGGCAGCUCGCUACACAUAUAUUGACUCUGAGGCACGAAAGCGUGGGGAUCAAACAGG
Molecule: ribosomal RNA, 253 nt
Filed under: uncultured bacterium
Lineage: Bacteria
Description: partial 16S ribosomal RNA
Rfam family: Bacterial small subunit ribosomal RNA
Source: RNAcentral